Molecule: ribosomal RNA, 497 nt
Filed under: uncultured bacterium
Lineage: Bacteria
Description: partial 16S ribosomal RNA
Rfam family: Bacterial small subunit ribosomal RNA
Source: RNAcentral
GAUGAACGCUGGCGGCGUGCUUAAUACAUGCAAGUCGAGCGAACAGACGAGGAGCUUGUUCCUCUGACGUUAGCGGCGGACGGGUGAGUAACACGUGGAUAACCUACCUAUAAGACUGGGAUAACUUCGGGAAACCGGAGCUAAUACCGGAUAAUAUAUUGAACCGCAUGGUUCAAUAGUGAAAGACUGUUUUGCUGUCACUUAUACAUGGAUCCGCGCCGCAUUAGCUAGUUGGUAAGGUAACGGCUUACCAAGGCAACGAUGCGUAGCCGACCUGAGAGGGUGAUCGGCCACACUGGAACUGAGACACGGUCCAGACUCCUACGGGAGGCAGCAGUAGGGAAUCUUGCACAAUGGGCGAAAGCGUGACGGAGCAACGCCGCGUGAGUGAUGAAGGUCUUCGGAUCGUAAAACUCUGUUAUUAGGGAAGAACAAAUGUGUAAGUAACUAUGCACGUCUUGACGGUACCUAAUCAGAAAGCCACGGCUAACUACGUG